AGAAGUGAGGGCUACUUCACUGUGACAUCUGUCACCCCAUUGAUUGCCAGGGUCGUUUUGGCUAAUCUGACUAGCCAGGCAGGUGUCCUUUCCCUUCCUCACUGCUCCAUCUAUGUUGCUCCCAAAGCUGUGCGCUGCUUGGUCAAAGAGGAUGACCAUUCCUGCUAGAGUAGGACCAUUAUUUGGUCUAGGUUAUAUGAGUAGCUGCACUCCCCUGCUGGAACCUCCAAACAAGCUCUCAAAUAUUCUCAUCACCCAAAAGCCCAGGAAGAGUUCUCUUCACACACAAAUAUUCCACAUAUCUUUGUAGGUUAAUUGUUAGAAU
This 325-nucleotide small nuclear RNA is filed under the name Carlito syrichta (Philippine tarsier). RNAcentral's name for it is "7SK RNA (ENSTSYG00000019733.2)". It matches the Rfam family "7SK RNA". Rfam says of the family: 7SK was discovered as an abundant small nuclear RNA in the mid-70s but a possible function has only recently been suggested. The record is from Rfam by way of RNAcentral. Lineage: Eukaryota; Metazoa; Chordata; Mammalia; Primates; Tarsiidae.